UGGAAAGACCUUCAAUUGUUCUUUGAACAAUUGGUUUUUAAUUAUUAUUAUUUUUUUUUUUUUUUUUUCUUCCGCCUAAUUUUUUUUCUUGCGUAUUAUUGAUGUUUCAAAAGAUGUCGCUUAGAUAUUUGGAAUAUGAUAUCGUAUAGUUUAUACGCUUUAAAAAUUUACAACUGCGUAACAAAAUACUUUACGUUGUAAGAGUUAUCUCCCCAAACACUGUUUUUCUUGUGGCCACUACUCCUUCGCAACCGUUAAAGAUUACGACAAAUUUAUUUUACCAAAUUGCUCGUUACAUCUUCAGGAUUAGGAUAUUCAUUUGGACCGAAGCUUUCCGGAGACUCCAUAUGAGAGUUAUUCCCCCUUUUUCAUUUGAAUUAAGUGAUAUGCAUUUCUAACUGGUAAACCAUAAGUGAUAGAGACCUAGGGUCUUUAGAUUUGAGGUCCUUGGUCCAAAAAAAUGAAAAUGAGGUCAAGGUCAAAGGUCAAGGUCAUAUUCUAAAUUU
RNAcentral lists this long non-coding RNA (506 nucleotides) under Mytilus galloprovincialis (Mediterranean mussel). Lineage: Eukaryota; Metazoa; Mollusca; Bivalvia; Mytilida; Mytilidae. The record is from RNAcentral.